GACGAACGCUGGCGGCGUGCUUAACACGUGCAAGUCGAACGGAAAGGCCCUGCUUUUGUGGGGUGCUCGAGUGGCGAACGGGUGAGUAACACGUGAGUAACCUGCCCUUGACUUUGGGAUAACUUCAGGAAACUGGGGCUAAUACCGGAUAGGAGCUCCUGCUGCAUGGUGGGGGUUGGAAAGUUUCGGCGGUUGGGGAUGGACUCGCGGCUUAUCAGCUUGUUGGUGGGGUAGUGGCUUACCAAGGCUUUGACGGGUAGCCGGCCUGAGAGGGUGACCGGCCACAUUGGGACUGAGAUACGGCCCAGACUCCUACGGGAGGCAGCAGUGGGGAAUAUUGCACAAUGGGCGGAAGCCUGAUGCAGCAACGCCGCGUGCGGGAUGACGGCCUUCGGGUUGUAAACCGCUUUCGCCUGUGACGAAGCAUGAGUGACGGUAAUGGGUAAAGAAGCACCGGCUAACUACGUG
RNAcentral lists this ribosomal RNA (468 nucleotides) under uncultured bacterium. RNAcentral's name for it is "partial 16S ribosomal RNA". It matches the Rfam family "Bacterial small subunit ribosomal RNA", at positions 28 to 507 of the family's 1533-position model. The record is from RNAcentral.